Molecule: long non-coding RNA, 434 nt
Organism: Seriola aureovittata
Lineage: Eukaryota; Metazoa; Chordata; Actinopteri; Carangiformes; Carangidae
Exons: 3
Source: RefSeq, a predicted model, not a curated record
CAGAAGAAGUCCGAUAGCAAACAGGAACCAGCAGAACCAGAGAUAAAAUCUUUUUUUAUUCCACACAUUCUUCUAACUCACCUAAAUUACCCACAAUUCAGCUGGACCUCUGUUGUGACAACUUUUAACAAACAUUCAGGAGAACUCCCCAACACCUGGAAACACACAGAGUAAAUCUGAGUGUUGGACUGAAUCCUCUGUUGGAGGUGCUUCUGCUGCAGGAUGGAGACUGACCACAGGGAAACUACGCCACAUGCAGGCCUCAACUGUCCAUGGACGCAGUGAUGCUCCAGUACCUGGACUUCAGCUGUUCCUGUGGGGUCUUCUGAGCAGCCACUAGGGGGCGCUGUUCUACAGCACACUGUGUCACUACAGUGUUCACAGUAUUCAAAACUACCUAAAGAUACAAAUGAACUUGUGGCACAUUCCUGCAU